UACGAACUGCGCAAACGUUAUUCGGAAUCACUGGGCUUACAGGGUGCGUAGGCGGUUCGCCAGGUCAGAUGUGAAAUCCCACAGCUCAACUGUGGAACUGCAUUUGAAACCUGCGAACUUGAGUAGACUAGAGGUACACGGAACUUCAGGUGGAGCGGUGAAAUGUGUUGAGAUCUGAAGGAACACCAGAGGCGAAAGCG
Molecule: ribosomal RNA, 200 nt
Filed under: uncultured bacterium
Lineage: Bacteria
Description: partial 16S ribosomal RNA
Rfam family: Bacterial small subunit ribosomal RNA
Source: RNAcentral